Molecule: long non-coding RNA, 953 nt
Organism: Carassius gibelio (silver crucian carp)
Lineage: Eukaryota; Metazoa; Chordata; Actinopteri; Cypriniformes; Cyprinidae
Exons: 3
Source: RefSeq, a predicted model, not a curated record
GUUCUCAUCAGUCUGCGUAUAAAUAACACGACUUUACACUUUCUUUUUGCGUGUAAUGCAUACGCCAAAUGCCAUUUUUGCGUGCAUAUGAUACGCCAAUCCUUCCCAUUAAUUUCGGUGGAGAGCAGAUGCGUCCAAAUAACACGCAUCAUCUUCAGCGGCAGUGACGUCACCAGCGAGGCUCGUUCAGUUCACCUGAUGCGCGUACACCUUCAAACAGGUAAGCAAGGUUACGUCGGAUUACAUACUCCACAACAACCUGUAAUCCAGCAGAUCUUUAAAGAAGCCAUCUCUUGUAAAAUCUCUCUCUCUCUCUCUCUCUCUCUCUCUCUCUCUCUCGCUCUGCUAGAAUUAACAGUUAACUCAACUCCACGCUCCCAAUGCUGAUAUUGAAGAAGCUGUCAAGGGGGCUGAACAAGUCCUUCAAAGGAUCAACCCUUCACAGGAAGGCCUGUCAUGAGAUUUGAAUUUGACCAUCUUGUGCAUUUAUGAAGAAGACCAAAAGCUGCAAAGGCAACACUUCCAAUGGUACGUCAGAUACAUUUUUCUCAGCAUUUGAUGUUUCUUAAAUUUUGGUUCACUUAGCCCAUCAGGAAGAACACUCAACAAAGAGCAUGUUGUAGUAGUAAUAAUUCAUCCAAUAAUCAUAUUAUAUUGCACAAGCGUACUUGUACAAAAUUCUACAACUUUUACUCCUACUGCUGUUAUUGGCCAUUACCACAGCUCCCAUCAGAUUGUGCCCAUUGUAAGAGUGUUUAUAUCAUGAAGUUUAAAUGAAGUCCAUUGUAUUCUUUAUUAAUCUUUACAAAUUGGUGCCGCCUCUUCCUGUUUCAACAGUACAUGAUAUCUGUCCACACCUCAUAGUCUGCCUUUCUUUCUAUGGUGAUGUUACUGAACACAUCUGUCUUAGAAGCAAGAGAAUGGAAAUCCUAGUUUAACUUUUCAAGUGCUAC